UCACAGGCACGGACACGCGCGCAGGCAGCUGCCUCGGGCCGGGCGCGCGCAGCAGCGGGGAGGCCGCGUCUCCUGAGGUCAGCGGCGGCGGCUCCUGUGACGCAGGAGGGCUGCCCGGUAGCUGUGGGGAGGCGCUGCGGUGCGGGCGUCUGGGAGCCGCGCUCCAGAGUCCGCCCGACGGCGGCACCCGCAGCGCAGGUCGAUGGCACCGCGGCCGCGCCGGCCUCGAGGGUCUCGCAGUCACUGGGCCAGACCCCGCCGCCAGAGACGCAGCCUCCUGAACCCGCUCGCCGACUCCCUGCGACUCUCGGGCGGGACCAACGACCAGGCCACGCCCGACACACCGCGCAGCGCUCAGCGCGGACCCCGCAACCUCUCGCGCGACCGUGGCGGCGGGCCCGCUCUCUCCCCUGGCACCUUCUGACGAGCACGCGACCGAGAAAGCUUCAUUGGGUAACAGAAGCGUCCGUCAGGAGGGACGAGCGGAACUCCGCCCUCUCCCACCCCAUUUCCUCCGGCAGAGCGUCAUCAUUGGCCAGGAUCGCCGGAAGGGGUGUGGCCCUGCACCCACUGGCAUCCGGUUCUCCAGGAGGACGGGAGCGGGGCCUCGGCGGGGGCUUUCGGGUCGGGCCGAGCUGUCUCCUCCUCGGGGAGGUAGGUCUUGGCGAGCCCGCUGCCCCCGCAGCCUGACCGCAGGUGGCGUCCCUGGACGUGGAUGCCGCUGGACGUUGGCACGCUGCAAGGUGCGUCUCGGCACGUGCCAGGCUGCUUCACCCGCAUGGGUGCUCUGGGCCCCGCCCAGACGAUCUGGGGAAGCUGCAGGCCUGCCUGUCCGCCCGGGAGGGCCUCCCAGGCCCUGGAGGCUGCCGCACGGGGGCAGAGCCGGGGAGGGGCUGCGUGGGGCCAGUGUUUGUCCCCUGGGUCUCUGCUGGGCCCCAGGGUGGCCUGUUCCAGCUGGGGCCGCAGCCUGGGCACCCAGCGUCCUUCCCAGAGGGUGGGGACGCCUCCCAACAGUGCCGUCCGCCCGCGGCUCCAGGUGCGCAAGGCUUGGCCUUGGGUUUCCCUGGCUCCCCUGGGCCCCUGGUGCUGCCCUCCGCCCUCCGCCCCGGCCUUCUCCUUGGAGGUUUGUCCCUGCCCCCUGUGAGUUAAGGCGCUGAGCCCUGAGUCACAUCCUGCUGCUAAUUUCUCCCCACGGUGUCACUUGCCUCUCAGAGUUGCGGUUUGGGGCUUGUGUUUGGUCAGGCAGAAGGUCUGCUUUUCGUGUCAUCGCAACUUCCAGACGUUUCCCGAGGCUUUCUGCAGUCUCUGGGGAUUGGUUUGCUCCGGGCUUGUGUAGAGUGACCUUCCCCGUCCACAGGGGUGCCCUGGCGCCCAAGGCAGCAUCACAGGUCCCGCCCAGCGGCCCCCUUUCACGCAAGCUCCGCUCUGUGUCUGCCGACUUGCCCAGCCUUGGCUCCCGAGGGGUUCUCUGGGCAGCGGGCGUCCUGCUCGGGGUCCUCCUCUCUCUUCCCGCCUAGGUCAAGGCCACAGCCCUGUGAUCGGACACAGGUGGUGCUGCUCGCUUCCAAGCUGGGCUCCGGGGCUGUUGGCAGGAGUGCCAGCUCCUCUCCACGGGGCGCUCAGGAGACGGGGCUUCGCCAGCGCCCAUGGAAGCCUGGGAGCAGGAGGGAGCCCCAGGGCCAAGCUCAUCUCCCUGUGUCCUCAUCUCCCAGGGCUCGCGCCGUCCGCCGCGUGACCCACCUUGGUCUCUGGGGUCAGCCCUGAAGAGUGCAGGGGAGGAUGAGGCGCAGACCUCUGGGAGAGGGGUGGGGGUGGGGUGCCACCCAUCGGAAGAAGGCCAGAGGGGUUCCUCUGCCCGCUGCCUACGUGUCCACUCCUGGUCCUGAGCAGCAGGCCUUAGGAAUGGGCCCGGGGUGCAAGCGAGGCUGCCCGGCCGGGUACUCUGGGACCCUGGUGGCCCGGCCUGGGCGGCGGAGUGGCUUUCCGACCUCGGGGUGUUGCACGGUGAAAUGCAGAGAACGCACACACAGAAAGGAGAGUGGGCCCAGAGACACCAUGUGGACGUGGGGCCGGCCUGGCGUGCUCUCCGGCAUUUGACGGAAGCUGGGCCGUGCCCGGGGAGUCCUGCUCAGAACAGGGCCCUGGGCCCUCCUCUCCGGGCAGCCUGUGCAGCCUGCCCACCUCUGGGGCCCCCACCCCGUGGCUCACACCUUCCCCACAGCCCGGCCCCUGGGUGCGGGCGCCCCUCUGCACCCACGGGAGCUCCCCCACCCCACGCAGUCGGGAGGGGCAGGGCGGGGCUGGGAGAGGUGGGGGCCUCGUGCUCAGGGUGCAGCUGACAGGCCCCUGUUCUACGGGGACCCUGCGAGGUGAGCAGGGCCUGGGCUCGGGCGGUGGGGGGCACCCCAGGGAGGAGGCGGUGGGGUGGGGAAGGAGCUUCUCACUUCCUGCAGGGGAGCACAUUGGAUGUCCUCUCUGGGACAUGUGCCCCAGCCUUCCUGGGCGGGUCCCGCAGCUCCCUUCCCAGCGAGGAUCUUGCCCUCUCUUCUACGUCGGCCCCAAGCUGCUGUGGUGGCAAGCGCAGUUGCUCUUGGCUCUGGACACCGGGGAAUGCCAGGGGCCUUGGGGGUAGCUGCCGGCCCCUCCAAGGCCGUCUCCCAGCUCUGGAGCCGCAGGAGAGCAGGUGGCUGGGCCUCCCCUCCAGCAGUGUGUUGGCACCUAGGGGUGGAUGGCCAGCACCCGUGUGUCUGACCCAGGGGCCCUAGGAAUCCUGUGCCUUCGCUCAGGCCUGGUGGACUCGCUGUGCAUUCUCUGCCUCUCCCUCUGAGCACAGCUCAGAUCCAGUGGGGGAGCGGGGGAGCCCAAGAAGGGCAGGGUAGCCCUGUCCCUGAGGGCCCAGGCCAGGCCUCCACAGCCCUGUGCUGCUUUGCCCCCAGGGCCUCCCCAGCUGUGCCCAGUCGGGGCCUCCACUCUAAGGAUGCUGGCCCUGCCCUCGGGAAUACCUGAUGACCUGAGGGCUCGGUGCCCCACGGACUCUCUUCAGCUUUGACAGUGCUGCCUGGGGGCCUGCGCACACCUCUGGCUGCAGUCACCUAGGGCUGGGGGCCCUGGCUGGUGAGCGCUCUGCCCUGGGUGUAAGUGGGUGGCAGGCCGUGUCUGGGGAGCAGGUACCCUGAGCCCCAUGUCUCCUGUGCUGGGCGCCCGGUACCACUGAUUGCAGUGGCUGGGGCUCCUACCCUGCAGGGUGUGUGGGACCUCUCUCUAGGGGCCUCUGGCCCCUCUCCUCACCUGGGUCUCCUUCCAGCACCGUGGGGUCAGGGGAACGGGGCUAUGGGGAGGUUGGGAUGUAGGCAGUGGGGUGGCAGUGCAGAGGGAGGGCAGUGGGGCCCUACUGCCUGCCCAUGGUCCUGGGACUCGGUGCAGGCUGAAUUUCCAGUUUGGGAGCAGUGCUCCCCACUGGGACGACCGGCCCAUCCUCUCCCUGGUCUCAGUGGGCGAGGUGUGGCCAGACCAGGGAGGUGGGGUGCGGGGACCUCCCUUUGGUCUGGCCACCUGGUGGUCCUUGAGGGGCCAGGUGGGACUGAGCCCGCACCCCGCAGCUCUGGGUGGGAGACACUGCAGUGCUCCUCGCCUGGGUCCCAGCCUCGCCUGCAGGCCCCUGGCCAGGGCGAGGUCCCAGUGUCACCCCGUCCUGGCCCACUCCCUGGUAGCCUCCAGCUCCUCACUUGGUCUGUCCUGCAGCCUCUGCCAGGGUACCCCUUGGGCCUGGCUCCUACCACCCCCUCACUCCCACCACGUUGGCAUCCUCUUCCCUCAAAGCCCCAUGGUCUCCUGGGUACCUGGGUGUUAUGGGCAGGGAGGGGACGGGGGCAGGUGCUUGGCUGGACUCAGCUCUGAGGCUGUUCCCCCCUCCCCGGGGCAGUGUGAGGUGAGGGGUCCUGCCAGGGAAGAUGUGGGGCAGGAUGUCCCCUUUAGGUGAGGGCAGGGGGCUCAGGUGAGACAGGACAGGACAUGGGUGCCCCAGGGUGCAGAGUCCUGGGUGCGUCAUGAGGAGAGGGCAAAGCCUCAGGAGCCCUCAGGACCUGGCCCUGCGCCCCCACCCUGUACCAGCUGGGAAGCUUCAGGGGCUUCCGGAAUGUGCCCCCCUUCUCGGCAGCCUAGCAACGGCUGGCUGUGUCUGCCUGGGACAGGCCGGCCCAGCCUGAGGCAACAGUUCAGCCCAGGACAGACAGAUGGACAGGUGAGGGCAGGCUGUGUGGCUCCUCCCUGGCAACACGGGGACAGCGAGGUGAGGGGGGAGCCCUCGCUGAGGCCCGGGGUUGGCCCGUGUGUCCAGAGCCUGGUCCUCUCUGUCCCCUGCUCUGUGCAGCUCCUGACCACCCAAGGCUGCAAGGGGCACGACGAGGGGGCCGGCUGCGGGGGAGGAGGAGGAGGAGCUGAUCCCAGAGCCGACCUUGGAGCCCGGAACCCUGAUUCCUGGCUCCUGCCUGCAGGAGGACUUGGCCAUUGUGCAUCUGGGGUGCAUUCUCAGGGCAGGAGGUGGCCUGAGCGGGAGUGGGAGCCCGUGGCAGGGCAAGCAGAGGCGGCUGUUGAGCCAGGGGCUGAGGGCCCCCGUGCACUGAAGGCAAGAGGGGGUUGGGCCGAGGGCCUCCUGCUGUGUGCGUGUGCGUGCGUGUGUGUGUGUGUGUGCGUGUGUGUGUCUGUGAGAGAGAGACAGAGAGAGAGAGAGAGAGUGUGUGGAGGGGGAGGGAUGAGGCUGCUUCCCCAGAGUGGGUCCUUUGUCACUGGUUCACUGGGGCCAUGAGCCCCACAGCCAGCCCCUUGGGGCAGGGGCCUCACGACUGCCCCUUCUGAGCGUCUGGGACAGGCCCACAGCCUGCUAUGAGUCCAGGGACUGCUCAGGGGGCCCCACAGGUCUUCAACUCCAGCAGGGAGCCUUCCCCGUCCCCACCCUGCCCAGCACCCAGCCCCCGGCCCCCAGCAGCCUGUUCUCUCCCUAGGCCUCUCUCUGGGGGUGCUCCAGCUCUGCCCUCUACCUGGGUCUCCAUGCAGGCAGACAGGGCUUCCUGGAGUCAGGGGCUGUGCAGGAGCAGGAGGUCCUGGGCACCAGGAGGGGCCACACAGAGACCCAGCAGCCUGGGCCGGGCCACACGCCUGCCCUGCUGGCGCGCUCGGCAGGUUGGCCUUGGCCCAAGCCCCUUCCCAGCCGCCGGCUCCAAGAAAGCCACAGCCACGCAUGGGAGAAUGGAAGCAAAACUUUAUUCCUCUUGGCUGGGGAAGAAGACUAGUGGGCGGUCGUGGCCAGGACCCCUACGCCCUCCCCUCCCGGAACCCAAGAAGACAGGCGGCGCCACCGAUCGGCUCCCUCUGCCCAAGUGAAAGCCAAGAGGCCAGCCGGGGAGGCAGGUGAGCGCAGCGCGGGGCAGGGGCCACUGCAGUGACAGGGUGGCCGGGGCAGGCCGGAGGGCUGGGCGGGGGGACGGGGAGAGCCUGGGGGAGGGGCCGGGGGGCUGCUCGGGCAGGAGAGCAGGCGUGGGUGGGGGCACUUCUCGUCCUGGCGGCGCUGGCCGGCGGGGGCACCGGGCUCAGGGCACCAGGACGCGGUAGGGGCUGCCCGGGAUGUGCUCGUCGCCCCACUUGACCACCAGCGUGUACUCCCCCUUGUCCUUGAGCAGGUAGGAGACGCUGUAGAGCCGGCUGCCCACGUGCUUCACCAGGAUCUCCUCGCAGGGCGUCCUCGGGCCGUGAACCCCGACCAGCAGCAUGUUGUUGCCUGAGGUAGGGACGGGCCUCGGUCACGGGCCCCGCUGCUGACCGCGCCCAGCCCUCCUCCCCGUCUCCCUCCCUGCCUGAGUGGCAGGGGCCGCUCCAGCCGCUGCUCCCGGCCAGCCCUUUCCUCUCCUGAGGGUAGAGAAGGCGGGGGCCCGGGGCUGGCCGUCCCGUGUCCUCGGGGAGGCCGGGGCGGCCCCAGCUGCCCACCUGCUUUGCUGCAGUCCACCGUGAAGCUGCUCUUCUGGCCUGCGUAGGCCUUGCUCAGCCCCAGGCCCUUGGCCACCACUUUGCUGGCAUCGGCAAGGCCUGGGCCCGCGGCGGCGUGCUGGGGGGCGCCCGUGGCCUUGGUCAGGGAGUCCACAAACACUGAGGACGUCUCGUGGAGGCUGUGGUUGCUGACGAGACGGGGGCCUGCAGGGCACAGCGGGUGGGGCUGAGAGGGGGUGCGAGCGCCUGGCGUCGGGUGGCCACCAGCAGCCUGGCCGUAGGCUCACCUGUGACUUUGGCCUUGAAGGGGCUGCCCCCAAUGUGGUAGGGCCCGCCGUACUUGAUGGAGAUGAGGUAGCUGCCGGGCGCCAUGGGAGUGUAGGUGACGCGGUAGCCCUCGGGGCACUCCUGGCAAUCCAUCUUCACCUUGGAGGGCCCGUCGAUGGUCACCGAGAGGGCACCGGCUCCCGCGUUGGUCGUGUUCACAAUAAACUCAGCCGGGCUCCCUGUGAGCACGGGAGGUCAGGCAGAGCCGGCCCGGCCUGGUGACCCCGUCCUGUCCCGCCCCCAGCUGCCGGGCCUGUGCUGUCCCCCCACCCCGGCCGUCCACCCCAGACGUCGCCGGGAGCUCGGCCCUGGCAGCCUCAGCCACGCCCAGAGCUGCAGCCGAGGACCCACCUGUGACGCCGCCUUCCAGGCCCGCUCCGUAGGCGGACACCAUGCCUGGGUCCCCUCCGUGCCCAGGCUCCCCCACUCGGAUCUUGAAGGGGCUUCCAGGGAUGUGGGUGCCGUUGAACUUGACGUCAAUCAGGUAGAUCCCAUUCUCCCGUGGGAUGAAGCGCACGGCAUACUUAUCUGAGGAGCAGAAGGGCACGCUGCGGGCCUGGGGGUUCUGUCACCAGCAUGUAGCCUCCGAGAGGACAGCCUCGGUCCUGGCCUGCCCCGUCCUCCCCCCACACCCUUAGCCCGCGUCCCCUCCGCUUCCUCUGGGGCCCUGCUGGGCGCCCACACCCGGCAGCACACACCUGCAGAAGGCUGAGGGCGGAGGCUCUAGACACCCAAGCAGCCUGCCAUCGAGGCUCAGAGGCACGGAAAUCGUCCACCGGCCAAACAGCCGCCUCAUCUCACGGCCGGCCUCCCCUGAACGGCUACCGUGAGUGCCACACUCCCCGCCCGUGAACCGGGGCUCAUGGACGGGCCGGAACUUGCUUCGGGUCAGGCAGCCGGCAAGGGGCAGGACUGCGCGGUGACACUGGUGUGCUUGAGCCUACUGCAGGUGCCAUGCGCCUGGCGAAGGGCCCGGCAGCCCUGUGGCUACACUGGGGGCCGUCCCUCUGCAGACACACCGCGUCGCGCUGCCCCACGAAAGGCCUUCUUCCCAGUGGCCGUGGCUGGCGAGCUCAUGGCCGAGGCCUUGGGCCACCGGUCGGGGAGGGCUCCCCUGUCCCCUGAUCGAGGGGGCCCUGCAGCCGUCGGGGGGCCCCGUGCUGGGCGCCAACAGAAAGUCUGUACCUUCCUCACGUACUCUCAGCCUGCUUCCAGCCGGCUGGCCGGGCUUUGGGGAGGCCCGCUGCCCCCGCUGGGGCCCGUGCAGGUAGGUGGCCGGGUGGCCGGACAGGGACAGGGCCUCACCUUGGUCAAUCUCUGUGACAUAGCACUCCUCCAGGGCUCCCGAGGGGCUGUGCACCUUGGCAUCAAUCGCCCCCUUGGCCCCGUUCAGGCUGACUGCAAAAGAGGCUGGCUGGUUGACCUUUAGCCCUGACUCCUGGAAGCACAGCAGACGAGGUUAGAUGGGGUGGCGGGGACCGGGCACGGGGCCGGUACAUGGCCCCAGAGUUGGGAGGCCCCAGGGCUCACACUUACCCAUCUGGCGUCCAACUUGGUUUAAAGAGGGAGAGCCACUGAUAUGCUAGGGGCAGCAAGCUUCAGACAUAGGUUCCCCCACCACGCUACCCCACCCCUCCCCCACCGCCCAGACCCCUGAAGUCACAGGGCCCCCACAGCUGGAAGGACAGUGGCCCCACCCUGGCAGGCUUUCCCUCUUUAAACCUCAGCCCUGGUGCUCAAGGGGCACAGGCUCCUGUUCAAAGCCUUUAGACCUGAGACACGAGAAAAACUCCACGCGGUGGGCAGGGUGCUUCCUGCCAACCCCAAGUGCGGGUUGGACCCGGCCAGAGCAGGGGCCCGAGGCCCAGAGCUGGGCCGGCUGGGUUACUGGGCACAGAACCCUGGCCUGUGCUUCGCGGUGCCUCUGGUCUGGCCGGGCCCAGGAGCCCCAGGUGGCCAGUUUCUCUCAGUGCCUCACCUGAAGACUAGAAACAGUAAGGCGGCGGGCAUCGCCGGACGGAGAAGCCACAGGCACCACGAAAGGACUGUCAGGGAUGUGCUCCUCGUUGAACUUGACCGACACCUCGUAGUCACCUGGCAGGGAGAGGACACGAGGCUAUCCUGGGCCAGCCCAGGCCAGGCACGAUGGGAGGUCUGGCUCCUCGGAGGCUGGGCCUCCUGCCUGCCCCACCAACAGCCCGGGGCGGGGCGUUCUGAGGCUUCGAGGCAGGUGGUGGGUGGUGGGGGCCCCAGGGUGGUGGGGAAGACAACCCCGGCUCCCUCCCUGAGGACCUGCUCCAGCCCCGGCCAGGCCCCCGGUACCUGGCUCCUGGACCACGUAGGCCACACCACAUGAGCCGUCCUUGCGGUCCUCAAAGGAGAUCUCGGCCUUGCUGGGGCCCUCGACGGCGAUGGCCAGGCCCCCGGCGCCAGCUUCCCUGGUCCAGAUGCUGAAUUCGGCUGUGGAGAGCGGUAUUUCCUCCUGGAGGGUUGCGCCUCUGCCCUCAGCCCCUCGCCAUGGCCCCGAUGGCGUGGCUGCCGGCAGCCUCCCCCCCACUGCCCCCGGGCACCCAGAAGAGCAAGAGCUGGGUGGGCAAGCGGGCCUACCUGGCACUCCGGCUUCAGCCCUCUCCAGGCCAGGGCCCCCAGCACGAACCUUGUGGGCUCCUCCUUCCCCCAGGGGCCCCACGGUGAACUGGAAGGGGCUUCCAGGCACGUGCUGGCCCUUGUACUUGACACUGACUGUGUGCGUGCCCAUCUCAGCAGGCACAAAGCGGAUACAGUAGGUGUGGUUCUCGCCUUCCACGAUCUCGGCCUCGUGGCUCUUGCCCGAGGGGCUGGUCACCUGUGCGGUCAUGUCCUGGAUGCUGAUUUCUGCAGGGAGGAGGUGGCCCGGUGGGUAGGAGGUCUGUGCCCCCACCUGCUCCCAGCAGCCCUCCCUGGCUCCCCACAGCCCCUACCAGGGAUCUUGAGGCUGAGGUCGCAGUGACUGCCAACGUUGGCCACCGAGGGGGCCCGCCGCCUGCGUGUGAUGCUCUCUUUCACCCGGCCCUCGCCUGUCACUUUCACGGAGAAGGGGCUGCCUGCAGGGAGAGAGUGCGGCCCAUGCCCCGCGCGGGUUACACCCGGGUGCGGUAGGGCUGGGGGGAGGGCGGGGCUGCACUGUCACCACACCUACCAGGCACAUGCUGGUCAGCGAACUUGAUGUUGAUGAUGUAAUUGCCGGGUUCCGUGGGGCAGUAGGUGACCCUACACGUGCCGUCUUCCAGGUCUUCCGUGUUGAUGUCCACCUUGCUGGGACCCUCGAUGGACAGGCUGAGCCCCCCGUAGCCUGGGCGAUGGACAGCCCUGAGCCAGGCUGCCCAGCGCCACCCACGUCCCCCGCCCCCGCGGGCCCGCCUCCGCCACCUACCUGCGUCUCGAGUGUCGAUGAUAAACUCCGCGGGCUCAAAGGUGCGGCCCUCGUGGAGGCCCUGGCCGGACACGCGCACGCGGCUGGCAUCCCCGAUCUCCGACUGGCUGAUCACCACCGGGAUGGGGCUGCUUGCCACGUGCUGCCCGUUCUUCUUCACGUGCACCAGGUGCUCCCCUGUCUCCUUGGGCACGAAUGAGAUCCCUGGGCACGGGGCGGGGCUGUCAGCGGGGGCGGGCGCGGACACCCCCACCCACGCCCGCCCACACAGCCGCUCUUCCUCCGCAGUCCCCUCAGCCUCUCACCCACGUGGCCGUUCCGCAGCCGCUUCAGCAGGCAGGGCUCCUCCCUGCCCGAGGGCGGCACCACGGUGGCCGUCAACAGGCUGAGGUCCGUCUCCGAGAUGUUGAUGGGGAUGUCGGCCGCAGAGCCCACCUUCAGGUGGGACAUCCGCAUGGAGUCGUCACCUGCGGGGGCGGCGGGGGGCGGCCAUCCGUCACCGCGCGUCGGGCCGCAAGGGGAGAGCACGCCCACCCCCGCUCCCAGUGCCACCCACCUGUGACCCUGGCGGUGAAGGGGCUGCCUGGGAUGUGCUGCUCGUUGUACUUGACCAGGAUGCUGUAGUCGCCGGGCAGCACGGGCAGGUAGGAGACGCUGCACGUCCCGUCCUGGUUGUCCGUACAGCUGAUUUCCGCUUUGGAAGGCCCCUCGAUGGCCAGCGACAAGCCCCCUGGCCAGAGGUGCGGGUGAGGGUGGGCACCGUGCCCGGGGACACGCCGCCACGCCUGCUGAGGAGGAGCCCCGCUGGUGGGGCGGGGCGGGGCGGGGGCCGGCAGGCGGGGCUACCCCGUUAGGGACCCCGCCCACGUUCAGCCCUCAGCCGCCCCAGUGGGGAGGUCCCGGAUGCCCAGCACGCGCCGCUCACCUUCUCCCGCGUCUUUGGUGUUGACGGUGAACGUGGCGGGCUUGUUGACCACUCCGUGACUGAGGCCGGGCCCGUAGGCAGUGACGUGGCCGCAGUUGACGUAAUCCACGUAGAACUGCAGGGGGCUCCCUGAGGCGGGAAGGGGGCCGUGUCAAACGGCAGCCUCAUGUGCCUCCACCCCCACCUCUCUGCGAGAUGGCGGUGGCAGCGGCCGGCCAGAGGCAGGGUGGCCCACCUGGGAUGUGCAUGUUGUCGUAGCGGAUGUCCAUCUCGUGCAGGCCAGCCUCGCUGGGCGCAUAGCGCACGGUCACGGUGCCGUCCUUGUUGUCAGUGAUGGAGGGCUGUGCCACCUUGCCUGAGGGCAUGCGGACCUCCCCUGCGGGGCAGCGGGGCAGCGGGGCAGCGGGGCAGCGGAGCUGGGUCAGGGCCGCCCAGUGGCUCGCCCCGGCCGCCCGGGCUCCCGCGCUCCUUCCCGCCUCACGCUCACCGGUGAUCUCGCCCUUCUUGAUGGUGAAGGGGAUGACGAGGUCAAAGGGCCUCAGGCUGGUCACGUCCAGCCCGUUGACACCCACCAGGGGCCUCUCUGGGGCCUGCAUGGAGACACGGGGCCCAGGUAAGUGGCUGUGGGGGCACGUGGGGGUCCCUCCUCGCAGGUGGCAGAGCGGCCGGGGCCCAUGGGACUCCCUGCCCACCAGCCCUGAGCAUCUCCUUGGGCCGGGCGAUCCGCGAGGUGGUGAGCCCUGCCGUACCCAGGUCUGCUGGCCACCCUGGGCAUAGGUGUACUGUGGGGCCAGCUGCUGAGGCCGUAACGGGGGCUGUGCCGCGGGCUGUUCCCCAGCCAGAGCCUGUGGAGCAGAGCAGGAGCUGGAGAGUCUGUUGUCGCAGCGGGGCCCUGGGGGACGGGCCAGGCUGGACCUGUCAAGAGCCCCCUGCAUCCUGCCCCCGGGCCCUCCUUACCGUCACUUGGAAGGGGCUGUUACAUGUGGGUACACCAUUCCAAGAUCCAGUCAGUUGAGGUUUUGGGCUCAUCUCGUGAUUUAGGACCUUCCUCCCUCAGGUGUCACCUGAUGUCCUGCCUCUGCUGUCUGAUUUCCUCCCCAUCUUGGGGGUGCUGUAGUGCAUGUGGCCAGUGGUGUGGUGGCUCCUGGGUGCCAGCCGUGGAGGGAGAGAACUGGUACUGGAGACAGUGCCUGAAGCGGCUGCUGCCCCUCUGCACCCCCCUGCAACACUGGAGCCCUGUAGAAUGUGGGUAGGGUUGUAGCUGCGCCCUUGGGAGCGGGGGUCCUGGAGGCUUCAGCAGCUGAAAGAGGCGAGCCCCGAGUCCUUUGGAGCGUUGAGAGGUCACUGUAGCUCUUUAGAGCCUCAGAGAACAUUUACCUGGAGGCCUGGAGACCUUGAUUUCCCCAUGAGAACCACAGAGCUUCCCUCAGCCUUAUGCUUGGGGUACCCAGAGUGCUUGGGUGAUUUCUCAGUCAGGUGUCUCUGUGUGGCCCAGAGCCUUGAGGAUUGGGUAGAGCACAGGGUCGAGGAUUGCAGAGCCCUUAGGGACAUAGAUAGGGCAGAAGUGCCCCAAGGCUCAUAGAGCCCUGGACAGUGGCAGCCAAGCCCAAGUGGCAGGUCUCAGGAGGGUAAGGGGUGCUCACAGGAUGUCUGGAGUGGAGCCCUAGGGAGCCAGAACCAGGAAUUUUAUCUUGUCCUAGGCUAUGAAUGGGGAGACCUGGGGGCACUUGCAAAAUGAAGGAAAAGAGCAGACUCUCACAUGCCUGGCAGCUCUUUCCUUCCUUCCCUCAUGCCAGACAGCAUAGUGAUUGCCAGGCACACCCAACAAGUUGCGGCCAUCCUCCGCACUUUCACUGGGGCCUAGAUGGCUGUUUUGUCCCAAACGUUCUUCCGUCUCCUUCCUCUCAUGCUGUCUCUUGUCUCUUCCACACCAUAUGCUACUCAGAACUUUCUGGUAUCGUGCUCGCCAGCACAAGCCCCAUGUGCUUUCCUGCUAGGCUCUGCUUACCUCUCUGCCCCAGGCCCUGGCAGGCUCCCACGCAGUGCAUGCUGACUGGUGGAACAAGCCCUCUCGUGUGACUUCCGACUGGCUGUUCAGGCAGGAGCUUGCUACUGCAUCCUUCUCAAGUCCUGGUGUGGGCCUGUUUGUUCUGCUACCCCAUGAUGAGGCUUACUGAUAUCAUUAGGUGCCUACUGUCCACCUACCCAAGCCCACCACCCACGGUGGACCAUCUGUCUGGGUUUCUGCCCUCCUGCAGAGCCUGAGGAGUCCAUACAACAAGGGGCUGGGGGGUGAGGGACAAGCCAGAUGCUGGGGACUUGGGAGUCAGACCAGGGAGGCUGAGGCUGUGUGGUUAAGAAAAUUAGAAGUGACUCAUUCUUUUCUGCCUAUCUUCAGUGUAGAAAAACCAUGUGUUACUUUUUAGGAUCACCAACCAUGUGGGGAGAAGCUGAGUUGCAGCACAGAAAUGGUCAGGAGCGUGUGGGAGGUGUCCAAAGCCCAGCCACGCCACACAGUCACAAUGUGGCCAUAGCCAAGCAAGAGUCCCUGGGGCUCGGGAGCCCAAGGUGCAUGUACGGGCACCACACAGGCACUGCACAAAAUGAGACCAGGUUGAGUCCCACAGCCUGCAGUGGGGGGUAGAUGGGACGCAAAAGGGACCAAUGCCAAGGCCCUAGCCCUUACUGGGCCUCUGCCUCCUACCUGGGGUAGGAUGCCCGCCCUGCCCUGUGCUUUUCCACCCUUUGCAGGCAGCAGAAAGCCAGGUGUGCCAGGUAUUGCCAGUCAUUCUAUCCUGAGUCUCUUUAGCACCCCCUUUUAAAAAAUACAUGUAAAGAUUAUGAAAUAUAUAACAAGAGCUGAAAGGUUGGAAGGUGAGCUGAGGAACGACCUUCCAGACCCACCACCAAGAUGGCUUGUUUACGUUCUAUCCUAAUGCCCUUGGAAGCUGAAGUUCGUUUCAACCUUUCCUGAUGGGAGCGCUUGCAAACCACACUGUGCCUGCAGCCUCACCUGCAUUUCCAGGUGGGUUCUCCAGACCCCUUGCUGUUAUCACAGUUCUUUUCUUAAGUAGUUACCAGUGCUUUGGGGAGUCAGGGAAUAAACCCCCAAACAACACAUGAACCUAGUCAGCGGUAGCAUUUGAUUCCUAUGCCAAGACCAAAGCAAAACCACAGAAUCAAUAAAGCCAGGUGACAAUCCUUAAAAAACCUUAAGACCCAGAGACCCCAAAGCAUGGCAGCCAGCCUCUCCCCCAGCAGGAAGAGCCAACACAUUAAAAAUAAACGGUCUUUAUUGCGUCCACGAAAACAAAGUCGAGGUGGCCCUUGGUUAACCUCAAAAAGGUGACAACGAACAGGAGGCAUGCAUGAGCACAUGACAACAUCUCUGAAGGAGUGAAGUCUUGCCCUCCCAGGCCCUAAGGGUCAGAGGCAAGCAGGGCCAGGAGGCUCCAGAGGAAGGCACGCCCAGGCCUACCAGAACGUGAAGGGCCCGAGUCUGCUGCCUCCCUGGUGGGAGCAGGCAGGGGGAGCAAGCACUGCUCAGGGCUAGGCCCAGCCCCCAAAGCUAGAACACACAGAAAAGCCCCCACCCCCACCCCCAGCACA
Oryctolagus cuniculus (rabbit) is the source of this 14252-nucleotide non-coding RNA. NCBI's taxonomy places the organism in Eukaryota, Metazoa, Chordata, Mammalia, Lagomorpha, Leporidae. The record is from RefSeq and is a predicted model, not a curated record.